This 379-nucleotide ribosomal RNA is filed under the name uncultured bacterium. RNAcentral's name for it is "bacterial SSU rRNA". It matches the Rfam family "Bacterial small subunit ribosomal RNA", at positions 28 to 408 of the family's 1533-position model. The record is from RNAcentral.
GACGAACGCUGGCGGCGUGCUUAACACAUGCAAGUCGAACGGUGAAGGGAAGCUUGCUUCCCGGAUCAGUGGCGAACGGGUGAGUAACACGUGGGCAAUCUGCCCCAGAUUUUGGGAUAACUACUCGAAAGAGUAGCUAAUACCGAAUAUUCAGCCUUGCAGGCAUCUGCGAGGCUGGAAAGUUUCUCGGUCUGGGAUGAGCCCGCGGCCUAUCAGCUAGUUGGUGAGGUAAUGGCUCACCAAGGCGACGACGGGUAGCCGGCCUGAGAGGGCGACCGGCCACACUGGGACUGAGACACGGCCCAGACUCCUACGGGAGGCAGCAGUGGGGAAUAUUGCGCAAUGGCGAAAGCCUGACGCAGCAACGCCGCGUGCGGGA